Long non-coding RNA from Bemisia tabaci, 1254 nucleotides. RefSeq lists it as uncharacterized. NCBI's taxonomy places the organism in Eukaryota, Metazoa, Arthropoda, Insecta, Hemiptera, Aleyrodidae. The record is from RefSeq and is a predicted model, not a curated record.
UCGUCGCUUCUGAGUAGAGCGGUCGCCAGUCGGGCAGCUCCCGCUCCAAAAUUCUUUUGUGCUGUUAAUACGCGUUUUUAGACCCAGUUCUUCUUGCCUCGUAGUGUUUUUAGUAUAAACACCUUACUCAGUGAAAACAUUUACCUCAAGAUCCAGUUUAUAUCAAGAUACUUACCGUUUUUUAGUGCCGUUAAUGUACUUUCUGUGCACUUUUUCUGAUCGAUUUUUGUAAUUGCAACUCCGCAUCUAAUGAUAAACCGAUUGAUUGAGAGAUUAGUAGCUGACAGCGAGCUACACUCUUAUCUCUUGUGAUUAACAGCCGUGAUUACUGGACUGAAACUAAAUGCCGUCGGGGUCUGAUUACCACCUGCACUGCGCGUGAUAAGCGGCGCUUCACAAUGGAACGCCGUUUGUACUAUAACCUAUCUUCAGGGGGAAGACGUAAUUUCUCACGAGGGAGAGCGAUUUUAGUGGGGAGAGAAAGAAAUUCCCGAGGGUCGGCCAAACUUUUUCAGUGCAGGGAGCGAUCAUCGUGUCGUGACUAAUGAGUUCCGUCAGAAACGGACAAUUUUGCGAUAAAAGAGGUGAACAGACCAAUCAGUUGUACAGCAUGUAAUAUUUAUUUUCGUAACUUAACAGUGGAGUUCGUGAUUAUGGUGUCGUGACUCCUGGGUCACGCUAAAACUGAAUUUUUUUCCAUUAAUGAAGUAUAAGGACCAAUCAGUGUUACAGUAUAUAGUAUUCAUGUCCAUAAUUUAACAGUGCAGUCCGUGAUUUUCGUUUCGUGACUCAUGGUACCUACUAAAAACUUGAUACUCUAGCGGAGAAUGAAGUGAACGGACCAAUCUGUUGUGCAGCACGCAACACACUUUUUUUUAAAUGCAGCAAUGCGAUUCGUGGCUAUCUUGUUUUACUGAUAUUAUUUACUCUUUUUUUUCUCUUUUAAUCUUGUUCAGUCCCCUAAGGUGCCAUUUCUUCCUUGUACGGCAGCAAGUCAAACUUUCUACCAUACCCGUCCACUAGCUUGAAGUUCUCUGAUGUAACAUCAGUGUCUUCGGUGAUUACAUUAUAAAGAGGACAACUCUUGUUGAUCGGCAAGUGUGUAAUUUUUCCUUUUAUUCCGUAUACUCUUCCGUAUGCAAAGUAGUCGGUAUAAUGCCCACAGUUACAACGAAGUAUGUUGAAAUAAACCUGUAAAAAAUCAAGUAGUGUUCUUAAUAGCAAGUUUAGAAAUAAACGGAUUUAUAAUAUGUA